GAGGCCACACUGAGGGUGUGGGUGGUUGGUUGUGAUGGAGGGUUUGGUGUGUGCUCUGGUUAAGCCGAGCCCUGCCUGUGAACCCACUCGGAGCUCCUGGAUCUUCUGGUUCCCUGUACGUACCUCCCACACUCCCUCCACUGGGGGGUUCCUGGUCUCCCGUGACAGUGCAAACACAACACCAUCAAGCCCCAGAGGGGGACGGCACCUACGGACCUUGAGAACACUAGCAAUAUGAAGAUGUGCCUGUCGGUCCCCUCUGUCCUCAGGGCAUCCGACUGUCCUCAGAACUGACUUCCCAGAAGCUGCUCUGCACCCAGUGACCUCAGCUGGGCCAGGGGUGGGGCCUGAGCUAAACUCUCAGGUACUCAUGACAUUGCAGCCUGAAGGCAGUAAAGAGGAGAAGAAACCGCUGGGAACCCACACUGCAGAGAACUUCCAGAUCAGGCUCCAAGCCAGUUUCUUCUUGUGGGGGAAGAACCUACAGCUGCUCAAAGAACACGGGGAACUCAUCGCUUUGGUUCAUCCAAAUCCUCACCCGAGGGUCAUCCAUUUCUUGCACCUUUUUGAUGGCUUCCUUCUCUUCUUCUCUUAAGAGUCGUGGGCUUAGGAGCAGGAUAGAGAUGCAAUGGUAACCUCCGCACCUUCUCAGUUCUUGCAGAAGGACCCAGGUAGACACACCUCCCAGUUGCCUAUGGCGAUCUUAUUGAUGUGAUUUGAGAAAUGACAGCAUGUAAAAAUAUCUCUGGGGAGCCUCAGUGUUUGGGUACAAGGAGCACAGAAAUUAUUUUCGCCAAAUUGAUUUUGUACAUAGAAGAAGGGUCCGGAUAUAAAUUAAAACACAUAGCUCUAGGUAUUUCGUUCUUUUCGUAGGAAAUUUGUAGUGGCCACGUGCUACACUAGCAGCAAUUUUCACAUUUUUCUAAUUCAGAAAGGUUUUCUUAUAUUAGGGGAAAAUUAUUUAUUUUAAUAUAUAAAAGAAUCACUGUACAAAUCGCUUUCGUAAGAAAUGGAGUGCAUGUAAAUUUUUUUUCAACGAAAAAUAAACAGGUGAAUGUGGGGUAAUAAUUUUUUUCCAGCACAGUCUACCUCAGUGUAUUGUUAGGAUGUGGUUCAAUAAUGGAUAUCUUUUGAGACUUCAGAAUUCUGCCUGGAUCCAAUCUGAAUCAGGAAAAAUUCACAUCAGCUGAUUCUGAAUGCCAGGGACCAGUAAGAAUUUUGAGGGAGGGAGUCGGGCUGAAGUAUGGCUUUCAUGUGAGCAUAGAUACUUUUUUUCUGGCUGAUAAGAGUCUCCUGAAUUUAAUCUUUUUUUUUUCUUUUUUUGGGGAUCCUCCAUCCAUUGAUACCAUGGCCCCCAAGCAUGAACCAGGUUUCAGGCCAUCAUGAUAUAUCUGAUGGGGGGGGCAUUCAGUUAUGAAAUACCCUCCACUGGAGAGGGACACUUCCUCCUCAGGGAGGCAAACACAGGCUUUGAUAUAGACCCAGCAUCCUUACUGUCCCACUGCAUUCUCGUGGUGUGAAUGCCUAGGUGCCCUGGGCUCUCCAUGGCUUAUUUCCACUCCUUUGAGGCAGAGAUGUUUUUUGGGAGUGGAACAAAGAACUUUCAUGAUCACCUCACACUCACCCCAUGCAGGCUCUUUUUUAUUCUCUGAGUGGGAAGGAGACCUGUUGAGAAAUUUCUACCCCAAACCCAUCAACAUGCUCAACACAUGUUUUAGCAGCAAAAUCUUAGACCCCUGUAUCUUGGAUUGGUUGACCUCAAGCUGAUAGUAGUUGACCUUGGGGGACUUUGAAAACCCAUGUGUAAGUCUGAGCAAGGCCGGCAGGAAAGCUGUCAUACUCACCAAAUCUUGCUGCCCUUCCCAUGCCUAUAGGCACCACUGUUGCAGACUGACUUCUCCAGUUGCCCUGGUGGGGUACUGUAGAGUGCUGGGUCAGCCCUAUGUAAAUGGGACUUCCCUGACUUCAUUUGACUGUCUCUGCUGCUACUGCAGUGAAAGAGCAAGUAGGCUGAGGUCACAGCCUCGUUUUGCAUCAGGAUCAAACGUGCCUCAGCCUAACACGGAAAACAACUCAACUCGGAGACACAAAACCCACCCAAAGCUCGAUUCUUUUUUUUUUUUUUUUUUUCCAAUAUUUUCCUGCAAGAGCCAAGUAGCACCAUGUACAGAAUAUGCCUUUUUUUUUUUUUGGAAUAUCAAAAUUGCUCUGCAUGUAAAAUAUGGGAUAAUUACUUGUUUAUAUGAAAAUUCGGAAUAAAUUAUCUGA
Molecule: long non-coding RNA, 2268 nt
Filed under: Sus scrofa (pig)
Lineage: Eukaryota; Metazoa; Chordata; Mammalia; Artiodactyla; Suidae
Description: lncRNA (ENSSSCG00030055576.1, ENSSSCG00050018724.1, ENSSSCG00060075719.1)
Source: RNAcentral